CCAAGUGGAAAUAGUCUGUGUGGCGCUCGUAAAUAGAGAGCAUUCUGGUAGAAAGCUGAAAGAUUAGUGAGACUGACUAAAUUCUGAACAUGUUCCAUGUGAGAGAAAUACAUGUUGAUUUCAUCUUGAAAUAAUCACAGCUGAGGGACGAGGUUCGUAACUGAGGGUCAUGUGCAGAGCUGGAGGAAGAAGUUGCGAGGCUUGGAACUCUCCUUGUGAAGGGCUCAGGGACAGCAGUGAGGACUAUGCCCUUUAGUUGUGAUUGUGAUACUCCUGAUGUGCAAGUAAACACUCCUGUGAUACUCCUUAUGCUACAAUGUUGAUUGUUAGUACAGAGGUGGUGACAUUAUUUGGUUCUUUGGUAUUGAUUUCAUGAUUUGUGGUUAAUACAUGACGUAAUACAAUCCACAUUGCAUUAUAUUUC
Triticum aestivum (bread wheat) is the source of this 424-nucleotide long non-coding RNA. RefSeq lists it as uncharacterized. The record is from RefSeq and is a predicted model, not a curated record. Lineage: Eukaryota; Viridiplantae; Streptophyta; Magnoliopsida; Poales; Poaceae. The transcript has 2 exons.